AGAAUCAACGCUGGCGGCGUGCCUAACACAUGCAAGUCGAACGCGAAAGCCUCGCAAGGGGCAAGUAGAGUGGCAAACGGGUGAGUAACACGUGGGUGACCUGCCUUCGAGUGGGGGGAUAACGUCCCGAAAAGGGACGCUAAUACCGCAUAACAUGCUGUUUUUGAACAGAUGGACAUCAAAGCUGGGGACCGCAAGGCCUGGCGCUUGAAGAGGGGCCCGCGCCUGAUUAGCUAGUUGGUGGGGUAAUGGCUCACCAAGGCAUCGAUCAGUA
Molecule: ribosomal RNA, 274 nt
Filed under: uncultured bacterium
Lineage: Bacteria
Description: partial small subunit ribosomal RNA
Rfam family: Bacterial small subunit ribosomal RNA
Source: RNAcentral